CUACGGGGUGCAGCAGUGGGGAAUAUUGGACAAUGGGGGGGACCCUGAUGCAGCGACGCCGCGUGGAGGAUGACGCAUUUCGGUGUGUAAACUCCUUUUAUAUGUCAAGAAAAUGACGGUAGCAUAUGAAUAAGCACCGGCUAACUCCGUGCCAGCAGCCGCGGUAAUACGGAGGGUGCAAGCGUUACUCGGAAUCACUGGGCGUAAGGACGCGUAGGCGGGUUGGAAAGUCAGGUGUGAAAUCCUACAGCUUAACUGUAGAACUGCACUUGAAACUUCUAAUCUAGAGUAUGGGAGGGGGAGAUGGAAUUAGUGGUGUAGGGGUAAAAUCCGUAGAUAUCACUAGGAAUACCUAAAGCGAAGGCGAUCUCCUGGAACAUUACUGACGCUAAGGCGUGAAAGCGUGGGGAGCAAACAGGAUUAGAUACCCGCGUAGUC
Molecule: ribosomal RNA, 438 nt
Filed under: uncultured bacterium
Lineage: Bacteria
Description: partial 16S ribosomal RNA
Rfam family: Bacterial small subunit ribosomal RNA
Source: RNAcentral